CACCAGAAUCCAACUGUGUAACACCCUGUAAACUUGCAGGUGUCUCAGCAGCUGGAUGUCUGACCGGAUCCUUCCUGCACAUGGUGUAACUGCACCAUUGGGUGGUCAACUCAGAACAUUCAACGACUUGAGAACUGGAUAGAAAAUGAGAGCCAGAGCAGCCACUCCAGAAGCUUCCAAAAUCACUCUGCACCUUCUUGAACUACUGCAGUUGGUGUGGUGAAGUUGCUCCGAGAUUAAUGUUUGGGCGAUCAGAACUGGACACAGUAUUCCAGAAAAGGCCUGCACAACCUCAACAUGAUGUCCCACUCCUAUAUUCAGAGGUCUGAGCAGUGAGG
Molecule: long non-coding RNA, 338 nt
Organism: Rhincodon typus (whale shark)
Lineage: Eukaryota; Metazoa; Chordata; Chondrichthyes; Orectolobiformes; Rhincodontidae
Exons: 3
Source: RefSeq, a predicted model, not a curated record